RNAcentral lists this transfer RNA (88 nucleotides) under Rhizocola hellebori. Its description in RNAcentral is "tRNA-Arg". The record is from RNAcentral. Lineage: Bacteria; Bacillati; Actinomycetota; Actinomycetes; Micromonosporales; Micromonosporaceae.
CUACCGCAUGGACGGCGGCCUGGUCGGCGGCGGCCCGCUCGCCGGGCAGUUCAAGCUGGCCGCGCCGUUCGAGUUCGGGGUGGUCGAC